Long non-coding RNA from Cyprinus carpio carpio, 1829 nucleotides. The record is from Ensembl. Lineage: Eukaryota; Metazoa; Chordata; Actinopteri; Cypriniformes; Cyprinidae.
CUUAAAUGUGUUACCAUGUGUUCAUGUGAAAAAUCAGGUUAGUUUGAAGAAUCAGCAGUGUCAUAAUGAACUGCUGAGUCUGAUUCAACUGAAACGUUGGGGACAGCUAGAGACACUAGAAGACUCCUAAUUAUUCGUCAGCAAAAAUAAGAGAAUAACAUUACUUUUUUCAGACAUCGGGAAGUCUUCCUUCCUCAAUUUGUUUGAGUGUGCAUGCAUAGACGUCGCCUUGGCUGCAUUUGGGGGAUCCCUUUCAGCUCUCAUAGACUUCUCAGGAGGCUGCCUAAGGCUUCGGUCGAUAGUCGUUCUUGGGGUGUCACUGAUGGAGAAAAUGGGUUGCAUACUAUGCAGCCCAUAAUGGUCACGUACAAGCACACCCAAGACAGAUACAAGUAUCUUAAAGAGCUCCAGUAUUUUUUUCCCAUAUUCCAGAAUAUGUUCCUAACAACACCCUCACCUCCUUGUGGGUUCAGAAGCAUUCUGACGCCGUGUUUAAAUAAAAACUAAUGAUUGGAAAAGUCCAGCAUACGUCAGCAAAGGACCAGUUGAAUAAAAUGAACUGCAAAAAUGUUUCAGAAAAAUAUGUUUCUGUUACGUCCACCUUGAGUACCAAAAUAGUUUUUGGGGCCACUGUAAAUUUUUGCUGGUGUUUCUGAAAUAGUGCAGCUCUUUGACACUAUUCGGAGCCCAUACUUAUUACUCAUUUCAACACGUCAUCUCUUCACAACUACCAAAUAAUCUGACUCACAAACUUGCUCACAUCCUCAACGUCACCAACAAUAGAUCUACUAUUUCUACUGUUCUGUCACAGUGAACACUGCUCACCACUUCCUGCUAGAAUAAUGCUGUUUGAUGCUCUAAGGUUAUGAGGAAUCUGACUCAGCAUCUCUCACUUUUCCCAAAAGAGAUGACUUCACACUGCAGUCCACAGAACAAGCGCUACCACAGGCAGGAAUGUAAGAGAAAGGGAGAAAAUGCAAGAACAAUCGAUCAGUUUAUAAGUGGAAAUUAUAGAUUUUCUCUGAGUGCUUUUUAAAAGUGUACAAAUACACACUUUUUUUCCUCAGCUUUUUUACCCUUUCUUCUCUUUUACUCCUCUCAAUCCCUCGUUCCCUCCUCCUGUCUGUUUGCACUUUUUUUUCUCCACAUUGGGCUGAUCCAUUCUUCAUCAGCAUUCAAAGCGGUUGGGUUCCAGCUGUGAACAAGGAAUUGAAAUGGAAAUAAAGGAGAGCAAAAGAGCAGAUUACUGUCCUCCAGCACACGUUUUGCCUCUUGUUUGGAGCAAUUGGGGAGAAGGGUCAGAAGAAAAGGGCAAGGAAAGAAAGUGUAUUUAAUUUAGGUCAAAACUGGACUACUUAGGCUGGUACAAUGCAGGGCAAAAUGCAAAUAGAGGGGCAGUGUAUCUGUGUACUUUAGCUGCACAGUGGAAGAGGUUAAAGAAUGAACAGUAUUAAAAGAAUGUUCAGAAUGGUAGCGUAAAGGUAAUUGGAAGGUCUUGAAGUAAUAUUAAAGCUAAUCAAAGUAAGGAACUAGUGCACAUAUUUUGUGGCCUUAGGAAACUCUAUUAACCAGUGCUCAGUGCCGGUCACUCAUUUAUCACAGAACUAACUGAAAGCAUUUCUAUAUAUGAAAUAAAGACUUCAUACAAAUAUAUAUGAACUAAGGACAAGAUGGCUGAACAAUGCACCACAACAAUAAGCUUAUCUAAAUUAUAUUAAUUGUAUCCAUGGAAUUAAAUAAUACAAUGCGGUUAAACAUUACAGAUUAAACAAUACAGUUGUUGAUAUGCAUAUUUAGUAAAAUUAAAUUAAAAAACUAAAAUAAAAAAC